AAUGGACGAAAGUCUGAUGCAGCAACGCCGCGUGGAGGAUGACACAUUUCGGUGCGUAAACUCCUUUUAUAUAGGAAGAUAAUGACGGUACUAUAUGAAUAAGCACCGGCUAACUCCGUGCCAGCAGCCGCGGUAAUACGGAGGGUGCAAGCGUUACUCGGAAUCACUGGGCGUAAAGAGCGUGUAGGCGGGUAUAUAAGUCAGAAGUGAAAUCCAAUAGCUCAACUAUUGAACUGCUUUUGAAACUGUAUACCUAGAAUGUGGGAGAGGUAGAUGGAAUUUCUGGUGUAGGGGUAAAAUCCGUAGAGAUCAGAAGGAAUACCGAUUGCGAAGGCGAUCUACUGGAACAUUAUUGACGCUGAGACGCGAAAGCGUGGGGAGCAAA
RNAcentral lists this ribosomal RNA (385 nucleotides) under uncultured bacterium. RNAcentral describes it as "bacterial SSU rRNA". It matches the Rfam family "Bacterial small subunit ribosomal RNA", at positions 370 to 772 of the family's 1533-position model. The record is from RNAcentral.